GGGGGCGAAUGGCUUCGACCGGAUGACGGAUCGAUAAGCUGCAUGCCCAGGACGCCGGUUGGCCUGGCUAAUCAUCCGGCACCUAAAGUUUAAAUGGCAACUCACAGUUGCGCAUGGCGGCCUAAUUAGGCCACCCGUCCUGUCAGACCUCGCCUGCGGGUCUGGUAAGGGCGCCAAUCAGCGGGCUUAGCCUCGUCGGUCGUCCGGGCCGGCGCGGUGAGACUUUACCGGAAUAGCCGAUCCGAGAGCCUGUCGCUCGGCGCUCGGUGAGGCGAAAUCUCAAUAGAACGACUACGCAUGUAGACGCUUAUCCUGAAGCAUCUCGGGACGGGGGUUCGAAUCCCCCCGCCUCCAUUC
Molecule: transfer-messenger RNA, 357 nt
Filed under: Phycisphaerales bacterium
Lineage: Bacteria; Pseudomonadati; Planctomycetota; Phycisphaerae; Phycisphaerales
Rfam family: transfer-messenger RNA
About the family: Bacterial tmRNA, also known as 10Sa RNA or SsrA, is named for its dual tRNA and mRNA-like properties.
Source: RNAcentral